RNAcentral lists this ribosomal RNA (280 nucleotides) under uncultured Rhodobacterales bacterium. RNAcentral's name for it is "partial 16S ribosomal RNA". It matches the Rfam family "Bacterial small subunit ribosomal RNA", at positions 505 to 782 of the family's 1533-position model. Lineage: Bacteria; Pseudomonadati; Pseudomonadota; Alphaproteobacteria; Rhodobacterales. The record is from RNAcentral.
GUGCCAGCAGCCGCGGUAAUACGGAGGGGGCUAGCGUUGUUCGGAAUUACUGGGCGUAAAGCGCACGUAGGCGGAUCAGAAAGUUGGGGGUGAAAUCCCGGGGCUCAACCUCGGAACUGCCUUCAAAACUAUUGGUCUUGAGUUCGAGAGAGGUGAGUGGAAUUCUCGAGUGUACGAGGUGAAAUUCGUAGAUAUUCGGAGGAACACCAGUGGCGAAGGCGGCUCACUGGCUCGAUACUGACGCUGAGGUGCGAAAGCGUGGGGAGCAAACAGGAUUAGA